Molecule: non-coding RNA, 113 nt
Organism: Lonchura striata (white-rumped munia)
Lineage: Eukaryota; Metazoa; Chordata; Aves; Passeriformes; Estrildidae
Source: RefSeq, a predicted model, not a curated record
GCUGGAGUUGGAGGUUUGGGAGCAGGACUCGGGGCUGCAGGGAAACCUCCCAAACCAGGGGUCGGAGGACUUGGGGGGGUCGGAGGACUUGGGGGACUCGGCCCCCUUGGCCU